This is a non-coding RNA of Pogona vitticeps (central bearded dragon), 937 nucleotides long. The record is from RefSeq and is a predicted model, not a curated record. Lineage: Eukaryota; Metazoa; Chordata; Lepidosauria; Squamata; Agamidae.
GUUAUGCCUGCCACAGAUGUUGCUUGCCUUCAACACCUGCAUGAUGGCUAGAAAUGCAACAGCUAAUAUCUCCCUCCAGUAAAAGGCUGUCCUUAAAAUGGCUGGGAAACCAAAGCUUCACUAUAUUUGUGGAAAAGGGAAAAUGGAAUCCAUCUGCUGGCUGCAGCUGGAAUUGAGGAGCAUUAAGUCUGUAUGAGAAGGGAGAUAAACAUCCAGUUCUGCUCCAUUGCUCUGUUUCAGUUUGAAGAACAAUUUAUAGAAACAAAGGAAGAUCUGGAAAAACUACGCAACGAUGGAUGGCUGCUCUUCCAGCAAGUGCCCAUGGUGGAAAUUGAAGGGAUGAAGAUGGUGCAGACUUCAGCCAUUCUCAGUUACAUUGCGGCAAAAUGCAACCUCUACGGGAAGGACAUCAAGGAGAGAGCCUUCUACUGUGUCAUCAUGGCAGCUUUAAAAGUUCAUGGAUGCGAUUUCCUUGUUGGCAACCAGUUUAGCUUGGCAGAUGUACAUCUGCUUCAAGCCAUUCUAAUGAGAGAAGAACAGAAGCCUGACAAACUCUUUCAAAACCCGUGAAAAUGCUAAUACGCAAAGUUUUCCAGGUUUCUGAGUGUUUGGAAGUGAUUUAUUCUUCUGGGGGCACCCAGGGACUCUGCAGCUUACCCAAGGCCACCCAGGCUGGCUUUCCUCCCAGGGGGCACACAGAGGAAUUGAACCUCUGGCUCUGCAGCCAGAUACCUAAACCACCGAGCUAUACCCCAUUCACUAUAUCUUCACAUGUACUACAUCUUAGGAAUAAAGCAGCAGCUACAUCCAAUACAUCCAUUUGUUAUUGUUAGUAGGCCUUAAAUGAUUUUUAUAAAAUUUUUGAUUAUCCCUUGCCUAUGGCAUUGCUAUGUUCGCUCACUGCAUUUGUUAUCAUGUAACAGUGUAAUGCUGAAAU